AGAGUUUGAUCAUGGCUCAGAUUGAACGCUGGCGGCAGGCCUAACACAUGCAAGUCGAGCGCGAAAACACUUCGGUGUGAGUAGAGCGGCGGACGGGUGAGUAAUGCUUGGGAAUCUGCCCAGUAGUGGGGGAUAACGUGUGGAAACGCACGCUAAUACCGCAUACGUCCUACGGGAGAAAGCAGGGGAUCUUCGGACCUUGCGCUAUUGCAUGAGCCCAAGUCAGAUUAGCUAGUUGGUGAGGUAAUGGCUCACCAAGGCGACGAUCUGUAGCUGGUCUGAGAGGAUGAUCAGCCACACUGGGACUGAGACACGGCCCAGACUCCUACGGGAGGCAGCAGUGGGGAAUAUUGCAC
This 356-nucleotide ribosomal RNA is filed under the name uncultured marine bacterium. RNAcentral describes it as "bacterial SSU rRNA". It matches the Rfam family "Bacterial small subunit ribosomal RNA", at positions 8 to 369 of the family's 1533-position model. The record is from RNAcentral.